This is a non-coding RNA of Rattus norvegicus (Norway rat), 1165 nucleotides long. Lineage: Eukaryota; Metazoa; Chordata; Mammalia; Rodentia; Muridae. The record is from RefSeq and is a predicted model, not a curated record.
GGCAAUAGCAAUCAACUCUGAAUCUCUAGGACUCUGACAGGAGAUUUAAAGAUCUGUGAUCCAUGAGAAACACAUGGAAAGAGUCUAUAUCUAUUGGGUCUUCAACUACCCCUCAGAGGGGCUUUCCCCACAACGUGAAGAUGGUUUCACCAUACCAUGGACAUACGAGCUCCCUUAUGGACCAUCUCUUCUUCCUUGAUUUAUAUAAACCGUCUUAGUGUCAGGAUUUUCAGAAGUACUUUGAUUCACAGGGAUGUGUCCUCUGGAUUUGACCUCCUCUAAUUGGUGCUAACCUGCAUAGUGUGGCUCUAUUCUGGGGAUUUCUGAGGAUGAGGACCCUGAAGGGAUGAUUGUACUUUCAGGAGUGACAGGCAAAUAGAAGCUGGCUGGGAUUUACCAUUUUUUGUUUGUGGUUCAGCAUCAGGCACUCCCAGCUCCUGCGUGAACAAGCUCAAUUGGAGAACAAUAUACAGAUUUUGCUGAAUGAGAAGAGAGAACUGCUGGUGGAGCAGACUGAACUGCCAGCAUCUUCUGUGGAGACAAAUAGGCUCUGUGAAGAGGCCGGAAUGAACAUCUGUGUCCCCAGAGCCAAGCAACAGUAGGUCUGAAAUUCUCCAGCAGAAACUCGAACAUGACACAUAUCAGGACAAGAUCUCCCUUGGAGAGAAGAGCUACAGGAGGAGAACUAAGUGUGCACAGCAAAUACACCACUAUUGUGUCUCAUCUGUAGUGUCCAUAGCAAUUGUGGACUGCAUUUUCCUCCUUUAGUUUAACUUCUUUGGAUUGAAUAGGCCUUACUUUCACCUCAGCCUCUCCAACAAGUGUGCACUUUUUGAGGGACUCAGAGAAGUGCUGAUGCAGAUCAAUCAAGAGCUGCUGGUCAUCCAGAAAGACUGUGCACGUGUAAAUUUGUACUUGUCCUGAUGGGUCAUCCAGAAGAGUAUCAUGGAGAUCAGUUCACAACAUUGGAAAGACUUUGUGACAAAGUCUGUAAUAUCAUUUAUACUCAGUAUUGGUAGGCUUUUUCCUUAAUACCCCCACUCCAACAAAACAGACCUACUUCCCCUCCUCUCGAAAAGAUUGUUACCAUCACUAACUGCUUGUCUACUAUGUCUCCAAGGCAAGCCACAGGCUAUAAGUCUAUUCUGCAAAAGGAGCAGCAAAA